CCCCUCGGGAAAGCCUUCUUCGGAUUGCGAGUACAGUGGCGAACGGGUGAGUAACGCGUGGGAAACCUGCCCUCGAGUGUGGAAUAACAGCUCUAACGGGCUGCUAAUACCGCAUAUCAUUGCAGACCGCAUGAUCUGCUCUCAAAGAUGGCCUCUACUUGUAAGCUGUCGCUUGAGGAUGGUCCCGCGUCCCAUUAGCUAGUUGGUGAGGUAACGGCUCACCAGGGCGACGAUGGGUAGCCGGCCCGAGAGGGUGGUCGGCCACACUGGAACUGAGACACGGUCCAGACUCCUACGGGAGGCAGCAGUGAGGAAUAUUGCGCAAUGGGGGAAACCCUGACGCAGCGAUGCCGCGUGGGUGAAGAAGGCUUUCCCGAGG
Molecule: ribosomal RNA, 379 nt
Filed under: uncultured bacterium
Lineage: Bacteria
Description: bacterial SSU rRNA
Rfam family: Bacterial small subunit ribosomal RNA
Source: RNAcentral